AACGAACGCUGGCGGCAUGCCUAACACAUGCAAGUCGAACGAAACCUUCGGGUCUAGUGGCGCACGGGUGCGUAACGCGUGGGAACCUGCCCUUAGGUUCGGCCUAACUCCCCGACAGGGGUGCUAAUACCGGAUAAUGUCUUCGGACCAAAGAUUUAUUGCCUUUGGAUGGGCCUGCGUUGGAUUAGCUAGUUGGUAGGGUAAUAGAUUAACAAGGCAAGGAUUGAGAGCUGGUGUGAGUGGGUGAUCGGCGACACUGGAAGGGAGACACGGCCAAGACUACUACGGGAGGGAGAAGUAGGGAAUAUUCAGAAAUGGGCGAGAGCAGGACGGAGCGAGGAGGCGUGGGUGAUGAAGGUAUUGGGAUCGUAAAACUCUGUUAUUAGGGGAGAACAUAUGUGUAAGUAAAUGUGCAGAUCUUGACGGUACCUAAUCAGAAAGCAACGGCUAACUACGUG
This 458-nucleotide ribosomal RNA is filed under the name uncultured bacterium. RNAcentral describes it as "partial 16S ribosomal RNA". It matches the Rfam family "Bacterial small subunit ribosomal RNA", at positions 29 to 507 of the family's 1533-position model. The record is from RNAcentral.